CAGUAGCCGCGGUAAUACAGAGGGUGCGAGCGUUAAUCGGAUUUACUGGGCGUAAAGCGUGCGUAGGCGGCUUCUUAAGUCGGAUGUGAAAUCCCUGAGCUUAACUUAGGAAUUGCAUUCGAUACUGGGAAGCUAGAGUAUGGGAGAGGAUGGUAGAAUUCCAGGUGUAGCGGUGAAAUGCGUAGAUAUCUGGAGGAAUACCGAUGGCGAAGGCAGCCAUCUGGCCUAAUACUGACGCUGAGGUACGAAAGCAUGGGGAGCAAACAGGAUUAGAGACCCCAGUAGUCCCUGUCUCUUAUAA
RNAcentral lists this ribosomal RNA (301 nucleotides) under uncultured bacterium. RNAcentral describes it as "partial 16S ribosomal RNA". It matches the Rfam family "Bacterial small subunit ribosomal RNA", at positions 509 to 809 of the family's 1533-position model. The record is from RNAcentral.